CUAGCGACUUCAGAGUUUGAUCCUGGCUCAGGAUGAACGCUAGCGGCAGGCUUAACACAUGCAAGUCGAGGGGCAGCAUGAGGGUUAGCAAUAACCCUUGAUGGCGACCGGCGCAAGGGUGCGUAACGCGUGAGCAACUUGCCCGUUUCUGGUGGAUAACCGGUGGAAACGCCGACUAAUACACCAUGGUAUUGAGUUUAGGCAUCUUUACUCAAUUAAAGAAUUUCGGAAACGGAUAGGCUCGCGUGACAUUAGCUGGAUGGCGGGGUAACGGCCCACCAUGGCGACGAUGUCUAGGGGUUCUGAGAGGAAGGUCCCCCACACUGGAACUGAGACACGGUCCAG
This 345-nucleotide ribosomal RNA is filed under the name uncultured bacterium. Its description in RNAcentral is "bacterial SSU rRNA". It matches the Rfam family "Bacterial small subunit ribosomal RNA", at positions 1 to 334 of the family's 1533-position model. The record is from RNAcentral.